This 378-nucleotide long non-coding RNA is filed under the name Suricata suricatta (meerkat). Its description in RNAcentral is "lncRNA (ENSSSUG00005008590.1)". Lineage: Eukaryota; Metazoa; Chordata; Mammalia; Carnivora; Herpestidae. The record is from RNAcentral.
UUUUUUUUUAGGCCAUAGGCAGGUUACCUCUAUAAUUCCUUUUGAUGCUGUCCUUAAGAGCUGCACUAAUGGAUGAGGUCAAUCCUAAGGGCUUUUGCCCUUAAGAAGCUCUUCACUUGACCUGCACCACUGCCUGUAGCUUUGGAUGAGAGUUCACAGCGAUGUAGUGAUGGGUGAGACUGACAGAGCUUAACUCUCACCUCUUGUUCGCAUCUAACUAUUAAAUUUAGAAAUGGGCCAGGCACACAAAAGCGCUUCCAGGAUCUAUGUAGAAAGAAAUACAUUGCUGUGUGUUUGUAGCUCCGCCCAUCAUUUGAGGGUAAGUAGAAAAGAGGUUUGGCGUGGCUUUCAGAGGAAGUAAGGUGAAGAUUCUUCUCU